Molecule: ribosomal RNA, 271 nt
Filed under: uncultured archaeon
Lineage: Archaea
Description: partial 16S ribosomal RNA
Rfam family: Archaeal small subunit ribosomal RNA
Source: RNAcentral
CAGCGCCACAAGUGGGAAUCGCUUUUAUUGGGCCUAAAGCGUCCGUAGCCGGUCUAGUAAAUCUCUUGUGAAAUCGUUCGGCUCAACCGAGCGGCGUGCAGGAGACACUGCCAGACUAGGGACCGGGAGGGGUCAGAUGUAUUCUGGGGGGAGCGGUAAAAUGCUAUAAUCCUCAGAGGACAACCGGUGGCGAAGGCGUCUGACCAGAACGGAUCCGACGGUGAGGGACGAAAGCCAGGGGAGCAAUCCGGAUUAGAGACCCGAGUAGUCC